RNAcentral lists this long non-coding RNA (458 nucleotides) under Taeniopygia guttata (zebra finch). RNAcentral describes it as "lncRNA (ENSTGUG00000018940.1)". The record is from RNAcentral. Lineage: Eukaryota; Metazoa; Chordata; Aves; Passeriformes; Estrildidae.
UUCUGAGAAUGUGUUGUAAUUGUUUCCUUGUUGUAAUGUUACCUUUCCACUUAAAAUGGAAGGAAAUAAUAUGAACACUUCUCAAAACCAGGGAGCCUACAAACUUCACUGUAUCUUCAACUAGAAAUAAAUAGAGAGGGUAAGAAGAAUCUACAUCAUGAACUGAAGACACAAUCUGGAGGAAAUGAUAGAGAUGGAGAAGGACCAGCUAUAAAUAUCAGAAGGUUCACACCAGAACAGUGAGGAAAAGGCAGAUGUGGUUGUAGAGCAUGUCCAGCAAGCUGCCUGAGAUGAAGAGCUCCUCUGAGGCUGCUCCUGAGCUGCUCCUGGGUCAGUUCACUCUGCCAGCCUCAUGUUCACUGCUGUGUGCAGAGGUUCAGGUGCUCUUUCCUCUCUGCUCCACGGAGAUCUCUUCCCAGCAGGAAGCCUGAGCAGGUGGGUGAGGGAUCAGACUGGCC